UCAUCAUGGCCGCGCGUUUUUUCUUUCACACGUUGUGAAGAUUCCAUUGACAAAAAAACGUUCCGAAAACUCGUCAUUUGAUCAUCUUCAACAGCUUGACUUCAUUCAGAGAGAAUUGGAGAACAAAUUGCAGAUGGACCCAUCAGUACCAGUACAAGAACCGAAGAUGUUCAGUCUUCGUUUGCACUCUUCUUUCAUGAAGCUGGGACCUGGUUGACGUUCAUCUUCUUCACCACUAUGUGACCACUUGUUUUCACCUUCAUCUGUAAAUUCAUAGAAUCAUCUCACUAGUGGUACUGAGCAAACCAUCGAUGUUCAAAGACCACCACAAGAAAUGACAAUGAUCAACUUGUCAUGCAACCAAGACAAUUCAGUCAUGCAGAGAGUUGGAACUUCAUUAAGAGUGACAGCCCAAUCCAGACAGAGAGUGUCGACG
Asterias rubens (European starfish) is the source of this 436-nucleotide long non-coding RNA. RefSeq lists it as uncharacterized. NCBI's taxonomy places the organism in Eukaryota, Metazoa, Echinodermata, Asteroidea, Forcipulatida, Asteriidae. The transcript has 3 exons. The record is from RefSeq and is a predicted model, not a curated record.